CGAACGGAAAGGCCUCUUCGGAGGUACUCGAGUGGCGAACGGGUGAGUAACACGUGGGUGAUCUGCCCUGCACUCUGGGAUAAGCCUGGGAAACUGGGUCUAAUACCGGAUAGGACCAUGCUUUAGUGUGUGUGGUGGAAAGUUUUUUCGGUGUAGGAUGAGCCCGCGGCCUAUCAGCUUGUGGGGGGUAAUGGCCUACCAAGGCGGCGACGGGUAGCCGGACUGAGAGGUUGGUCGGCCACAUUGGGACUGAGAUACGGCCCAGACUCCUACGGGAGGCAGCAGUGGGGAAUAUUGCACAAUGGGCGCAAGCCUGAUGCAGCGACGCCGYGUGGGGGAUGACGGCCUUCGGGUUGUAAACUCYUUUCRCCAGGGACGAAGCGUUUUGUGAMGGUACCUGGA
This 402-nucleotide ribosomal RNA is filed under the name Corynebacterium pseudodiphtheriticum. RNAcentral describes it as "bacterial SSU rRNA". It matches the Rfam family "Bacterial small subunit ribosomal RNA", at positions 63 to 483 of the family's 1533-position model. The record is from RNAcentral. Lineage: Bacteria; Bacillati; Actinomycetota; Actinomycetes; Mycobacteriales; Corynebacteriaceae.